CCUUGCCAUGAUGCACUUUGUAUUAUUCCUGUUAAUGUUAAACAAAGUAAAGAACUAGCGAUAUAAACAUACGCUACAGGCAUUGGACACAUGUUCUCUGGUUUGCAUGCUUAUGGGUCAGUUUCUAUAAGUAUUUGUGGCUACUAUAAUAUAGCUACUGUCUCUUUUCAAAACCAUUGAAAAAAGACAGUUAUCGUUGCCCGUAGAAAAUAUUUCAUCUUAGAUGUUUAUGUAUUUAUUCUCAAAGCAUGGAUAAACAAUACAGGUAAAGAAUGAAAG
This is a long non-coding RNA of Xenia sp. Carnegie-2017, 279 nucleotides long. RefSeq lists it as uncharacterized. The transcript is spliced from 2 exons. The record is from RefSeq and is a predicted model, not a curated record. NCBI's taxonomy places the organism in Eukaryota, Metazoa, Cnidaria, Anthozoa, Malacalcyonacea, Xeniidae.